UACGGAGGGUGCGAGCGUUGUCCGGAAUCACUGGGCGUAAAGGGCGCGUAGGCGGUCACGCACGUCCGUUGUGAAAUCGCUCGGCUCAACUGGGCGGGGUCAGCGGAUACGGUGUGACUGGAGCAAGCUAGGGGGCAAUGGAAUUCCCGGUGUAGUGGUGGAAUGCGUAGAUAUCGGGAGGAACACCAGUGGCGAAGGCGGUUGCCUGGAGCUUUGCUGACGCUGAUGCGCGAAAGCGUGGGGAGCGAUCCGG
RNAcentral lists this ribosomal RNA (253 nucleotides) under uncultured bacterium. RNAcentral describes it as "partial 16S ribosomal RNA". It matches the Rfam family "Bacterial small subunit ribosomal RNA", at positions 524 to 776 of the family's 1533-position model. The record is from RNAcentral.